This 406-nucleotide ribosomal RNA is filed under the name uncultured bacterium. Its description in RNAcentral is "bacterial SSU rRNA". It matches the Rfam family "Bacterial small subunit ribosomal RNA", at positions 28 to 431 of the family's 1533-position model. The record is from RNAcentral.
GACGAACGCUGGCGGCGCGCUUAACACAUGCAAGUCGAGCGAGAACCAGGACUUCGGUCCUGGGGAAAGCGGCGAACGGGUGAGUAACACGUGAGUAAUCUGCCCUCAGCACCGGAAUAGCCCGGGGAAACCCGGAUUAAUGCCGGAUAGCCCGCUCUCCUUUCGGGGAGAUCGGAAAAGGUAGCUUUGGCCUCUGGCUGAGGAUGAGCUCGCGGCGGAUUAGCUUGUUGGCGGGGUAAUGGCCCACCAAGGCGACGAUCCGUAGCUGGUCUGAGAGGACGAUCAGCCACACUGGGACUGAGACACGGCCCAGACUCCUACGGGAGGCAGCAGUGGGGAAUCUUGCGCAAUGGGCGAAAGCCUGACGCAGCGACGCCGCGUGCGGGAGGAAGGCCUGGUGUAACGC